ACAGCCAUACCACCCUGAACACACCCAAUCUCGUCUGAUCUCGGAAGCUAAGCAGGGUCAGGCCUGGUUAGUACUUGGAUGGGAGAAGAUAACACACGUGUCUUCAUGUA
This 110-nucleotide ribosomal RNA is filed under the name Ochotona princeps (American pika). The record is from RNAcentral. Lineage: Eukaryota; Metazoa; Chordata; Mammalia; Lagomorpha; Ochotonidae.